RNAcentral lists this ribosomal RNA (254 nucleotides) under uncultured bacterium. RNAcentral's name for it is "partial 16S ribosomal RNA". It matches the Rfam family "Bacterial small subunit ribosomal RNA", at positions 524 to 776 of the family's 1533-position model. The record is from RNAcentral.
UACGGAGGGUGCAAGCGUUGUUCGGAUUUACUGGGCGUAAAGGGCGCGUAGGCGGUCGUGACAAGUCACUUGUGAAAUCUCCGGGCUUAACUCGGAACGGUCAAGUGAUACUGUCGGACUAGAGUACAGAAGGGGCAACUGGAAUUCUCGGUGUAGCGGUGAAAUGCGUAGAUAUCAGGAGGAAUACCGGUGGCGAAAGCGACUCUCUGGACGGCAACUGACGCUGAGGCACGAAAGCGUGGGGAGCAAACAGG